RNAcentral lists this ribosomal RNA (467 nucleotides) under uncultured bacterium. RNAcentral describes it as "partial 16S ribosomal RNA". It matches the Rfam family "Bacterial small subunit ribosomal RNA", at positions 29 to 507 of the family's 1533-position model. The record is from RNAcentral.
ACGAACGCUGGCGGCGUGCUUAACACAUGCAAGUCGAACGGAAAGGCCCUGCUUUUGUGGGGUGCUCGAGUGGCGAACGGGUGAGUAACACGUGAGUAACCUGCCCUUGACUUUGGGAUAACUUCAGGAAACUGGGGCUAAUACCGGAUAGGAGCUCCUGCUGCAUGGUGGGGGUUGGAAAGUUUCGGCGGCUGGGGAUGGACUCGCGGCUUAUCAGCUUGUUGGUGGGGUAGUGGCUUACCAAGGCUUUGACGGGUAGCCGGCCUGAGAGGGUGACCGGCCACAUUGGGACUGAGAUACGGCCCAGACUCCUACGGGAGGCAGCAGUGGGGAAUAUUGCACAAUGGGCGGAAGCCUGAUGCAGCAACGCCGCGUGCGGGAUGACGGCCUUCGGGUUGUAAACCGCCUUCGCCUGUGACGAAGCGUGAGUGACGGUAAUGGGUAAAGAAGCACCGGCUAACUACGUG